RNAcentral lists this ribosomal RNA (250 nucleotides) under uncultured Staphylococcus sp. RNAcentral describes it as "partial 16S ribosomal RNA". It matches the Rfam family "Bacterial small subunit ribosomal RNA", at positions 90 to 334 of the family's 1533-position model. Lineage: Bacteria; Bacillati; Bacillota; Bacilli; Caryophanales; Staphylococcaceae. The record is from RNAcentral.
CGUUAGCGGCGGACGGGUGAGUAACACGUGGGUAACCUACCUAUAAGACUGGGAUAACUUCGGGAAACCGGAGCUAAUACCGGAUAAUAUUUCGAACCGCAUGGUUCGAUAGUGAAAGAUGGUUUUGCUAUCACUUAUAGAUGGACCCGCGCCGUAUUAGCUAGUUGGUAAGGUAACGGCUUACCAAGGCGACGAUGCGUAGCCGACCUGAGAGGGUGAUCGGCCACACUGGAACUGAGACACGGUCCAG